RNAcentral lists this ribosomal RNA (450 nucleotides) under uncultured bacterium. RNAcentral's name for it is "bacterial SSU rRNA". It matches the Rfam family "Bacterial small subunit ribosomal RNA", at positions 354 to 796 of the family's 1533-position model. The record is from RNAcentral.
GUGGGGAAUUUUGGACAAUGGGCGCAAGCCUGAUCCAGCAAUGCCGCGUGCAGGAAGAAGGCCUUCGGGUUGUAAACUGCUUUUGUACGGAACGAAACGGUCCUGGUUAAUACCUGGGGCUAAUGACGGUACCGUAAGAAUAAGCACCGGCUAACUACGUGCCAGCAGCCGCGGUAAUACGUAGGGUGCGAGCGUUAAUCGGAAUUACUGGGCGUAAAGCGUGCGCAGGCGGUUUUGUAAGACAGGCGUGAAAGCCCCGGGCUCAACCUGGGAAUUGCGCUUGUGACUGCAAGGCUGGAGUGCGGCAGAGGGGGAUGGAAUUCCGCGUGUAGCAGUGAAAUGCGUAGAUAUGCGGAGGAACACCGAUGGCGAAGGCAAUCCCCUGGGCCUGCACUGACGCUCAUGCACGAAAGCGUGGGGAGCAAACAGGAUUAGAAACCCCAGUAGUCC